This is a non-coding RNA of Xyrichtys novacula (pearly razorfish), 5659 nucleotides long. The record is from the annotation of a GenBank genome assembly. Lineage: Eukaryota; Metazoa; Chordata; Actinopteri; Labriformes; Labridae.
GAGCUCAGUCACAACACACAAGGACAACAAAAGCAUUCAAACCAGGGACGGUUUAGUCAUUGCUUGAUGCCUAGUAAGUUGGUUUGGACCUUUUCAUGCAUCUGCAGGGAUUUGUCGACCUCAGCCGCCACAGUCAGGUUAGUUACGACCCGUGUCACAUUGAAUGACUGUGUGGCUGUGUUUCUGUGAUUUCUGACUAAUGAUCAACUCUCCAGAGUCGUAACUCCUGGGAAGAAAAGAUGAUUUUUAUGGACUCUGCCAAGGCACUGAGACUAUUGGCACAGCUAGGGUGUCCCUCAUUUGUUAUGGAGCCAUACCGCCACCUUGCCAAAAGAAGUGCCAGGCCAAGGACAAACUCUGUGUGUGUGUGUUUAAGUGUGUGUGUGUGUGUGUGUUUGCAGUCUGACCCCCAUCUCAGGACUGAAAACCUUGGUGACAAGCCAUAUUGGCAUCUGAAAAUAUUGUAAUAGAGCUCUAAAGCAGAAAUAGUCCAGGCACUUGUGUUUGUUCUCAAAGACAGGCAGAACUCCUGCUACUAUUAUUUCACUAGUUGAAACAUGGUGAUGGAAUGAAUCAAGUUUAAUCUGUUUUUAUCCAUUGUACUGGGCGGUUCUCAGUUAGUGGCCAAAAUAAUUCACUGAACAUGUCCAACUUUUGUAUAUUUGGAUGAUAGACCUCCUACAUGUCCAACAAUAAAAACUAAAGUGGGCCGUGUAACCUACUUAGGAGAAGAUGAAGUGCUAAAUCUCCAUGCAAGGUCUGCAACUUUCCGAAUCAUCUCUUCUUUGAAAAAUUGUUAAUAUUCCCAAGCAUGCUCAACCUGUAUAUCAUCCGGUCUCAGUGUAAAAUAUCAUAAAAUGCAAGGUAAACAUGUAUUUGUAAGUGUGGUAUAGGGGCCACACUCUCCAACACAAACACACACACACACAGGCCUUUAUCCACCUCCUCGUCUAACUCCUCGAGCUGUGUUGUUUUGAGUGAAAGAAGAACCGUCCCUAAUCCACUUCACGGAUCAGUUUCACAGAGACGGUAAAGCCAUUCUCCCUCCAAGCUAAAGCAAUUCAGAUCAGACACCUUGAUGUCUCAAAGAGCACACAGUGAGCUCUUGUUUUCUGUUUUGACUGCUGGGAAUCCAUGCCAGACAGCACCCCUGAUUCCAGCUCAAAGAUAAAACUAAUGAGGUUUUCAUUCAAGUCCGUUUUAUAACAAUAACUGAGUCAUUGCCAGACGUGGCUGUUUUCACUAUGGCGAGGAAAUUCUAUGAUCCGCUAAUCUCGGAUUCAGGGGAGUUAGAUUUCUAAAACUAAAGGUGUAAGGCUCAUCUUAAAUGCAGGUGAUACUCCUUUAAACUUUCAUCAUUAAUUUCGACUGCGCCGUGUCAAAUUGUAAGACAGUGCUGCAAAAAUGACGACAACCAUCUAAUAGCUCCCUCAAGUUCUGAAUCGCAGCGAAAGGCAGAUCUAAUUUACCACAUUACCUCAUUGUCUGAAGACACUCAUGCAUUUUGAUUUGUCUAACACCUGAAAGAACUUGUCUAUGAGGUGUCAGUUGCAUUAGGGACUUCAUUUGCAGCUAAUUGAGCAGUAAUAGGAGGGUAAUUAUAGGGAUAAUCUUGCUGACAUAUGCCGUGAUACCAACCUGACACCUGAGAGAUCUGUGGACAGGCACAACCCAACCAUCAGACCAGACGAUUCCCACAACCCUUUGCUCUUGUGAUGAGCCCAGAGAUGACACUUGCAUUGUCGGCUGACUUAAACAUCAGAGACAAGGCCUUAAUCCUCCAACAAUGGCUCUGGAUGUCCGCACAAAGACACUGUUUAUAGAGAUGUCUCCGUUUGGACACCUUAGCUAACCUUUCUUUAGGUGCCCUGAGGUGACUCAGUGUUGCCGGCAGCAUUCCUAAGACUGGAGGUCUACACUACACUACACUGAAAAUAGUUGUCUAUAAAAGAAACACCAUCUUUCCUUCAAAGGGGAUUAAUUUGCAAGCAGAAGAGACCAUCCACAACACACCUCAAACAGCUGAUUACUGCUCAGACAACGAUUUCAAAUUUAAACACGGAAACGGCAAUUCAAAGAAACUUCAAGCAUUAAAAACUCCUGAAGUCAACACAUGACAUGACAGAGUCUGGUUUAGUGCAUCUGAACUUUUGCACAGUGAUAGUUUUACUAUUGUACAGGCUCUCCUCAAACUUGCACCCCCUCAAGCUGUUUCUACCCUUCACGGGUGGCAACAUGAUAUAAGGUAAAAGCCUCCCAAAGAAAAGAAUUGGUCCUUGGAUGUAACAAAUGUGUGAAAAAGUUUCGGCCAUAAAAAUCUGACGAUACCAUUUAGAAAAGAAAUGUGUUUUCUUCACACCAUGCUCCUAUCCAGGGGCUUAAUAACUUGUGUGAAUGAAGAGCCCACCUCUUGGGCACAGGGUCACCAGUAAACAUAAAUAACGGAUUGUAGAAGUGCUCCGAAGUGGUGGCAGCGGGUUAGAAUGACCAGAUAGGGCAAAAAUAUAGUAUAAUCAAAACCUUACUAACAAAGACAAAGUGAAAAACUCCCAAAGAGAUAAUCACUGAUGUGUUCGGAUCCCCCAGUAGACUGUCCAUGAUAAAGAUUACUUAAACAAAGGUUGCUAUUGCAGCGCUAUCCUUAUUUCUUUCCCCUGAUCUUCCUCACAGUUGUGGUUGCAUCAGCAAACGGCCACUACAGUGCUGCACACAUGAAAGAAAUAGAGUUGGUGAUAGUGUUGAAGAAAUUUUUGAAAACUCAAUUACGCCCAGUCGGCCUCAGACACCGAUGCGCACACGUUUGAAAAUCAGACCACCAGCGUGACGACUCUUCCCUGCAAUCAUGUCACUGCACAUCGAUCUCUGGAAAGACAAUUCAGCUGUCACUUUUCUUGUCAUGAACUGGAUUGCAGCGCUUGUGUGUUUCUUCGGUGGGGUUCAUUGAUAUGGUCCUGCACAAAGCUAAACCCCCUCAAUAUUUAUUCAGUCCCCGGCUUCAAGUUAAUCAAAAGUCACGACAAUGUCACCACGGAGGAGUGCUAAUAAUUAUCAAAGCAAAUCUUUGUUCUUCAGAGUCAGUUUGUGUGGUAUGCACCAGUGGCGUCUUACCGCCAGGCCUUCGUACGGUUAACGUUUCAAAGUAAGAAUUCACCCCGUGCCCCAAAUCAGAGGCUCAGUUAGCACUGACUUAAAUCUUAUGUAACUCUGGGCUCUUGACAGGCAGACACCUCUGCUGACUACAGAUAGGUAAUUUGUUUUGAUCUGUGAUUAUACCCCUCGUGUUCAGAGGAAGAUGUAAACCCUCUUGUGAAGCUGUUAGGCAAAUCCUCACAAUGUGGGGAGAAGUUGCCCCCAGGGGUCUCAAGUUUUCACCCUCCUUCUCCAUCGCCGUCUUUUCUCUCUGUCUCCCUUUCUUUUUCUCUUUUUUUCAUCUCGUAUGAGAGACAAAGCCUCCUGCCAAACACUCAAGCCCCCCAGGAGCUCAUCAUACAGAAAACUAGGGCUCCUCGGAGAGCGAAGAGAACAAGCGAGAGAGAGAGAGGGAGAGGAGGGGGGAAGAGGGAUGGAGGAAAGACGAAGGCUUGUGUAAAGGAAAGGUGGGAACAGGGUUUUAGUUUUGUGUGUGUUUGUGUGUGUGUGUGGGUGUGUGUUCUUUCUACAUUGUUAAUGACUGUUAAGAGUCUAUCAGAGCUACGGGGCAUUUUGCACAUCCCACAAGCCUCCCUCCUUUGACUCCCUCCCUGCUAUUUUCCUUAACACUGCCUUUUGUGGCCUGUGCCAGACAUACCUGCAAAAUUAUCUACUAAUUAUCUACUAAAUAUGUUUGUUCAUGUUGGUUGAACGGCUCACUUAAUUGAAAGGGCGCUCUACCUUCCCUCUGCUCUUCCCCUCCUUCAUGCCCUUUGAGUACAGGAGGUGGGGGUGGUGGUGCGGGCUUAGGAGAGUGGCUUAUCUCCAAGAGCUCGUUAUAUUAAUGCCAGUAAUUAUGUGUUUUGCUUACUUUUGAUGUGCCUCUGUUCAAACGGGGAGAGUUAAUAAGAGGAUGACGGCAAAUAUGUCGGAGGGCCCUCUGUGUUGUCUUUGGGAUCUGGAAAUUCCUGCGUGUACCGGAGAGUGUGCACGCGCUGGGGGUAGGGGGCGGGGGAGGAGGUACCAAGGGGUGGCACCUGACUCACAAGAAUGUCAGCGCGCAGGUAAAGGCAGGAGCUUAUGAUCAAAUCUUUACUUCAUAUUUUUACUUCUGUUCCUUUCAGGCACACAAACAAAAACGCCCACCCCAGCCAAAACCUCCCUUUGGAUCCUAAAACGGGUGGAGAUGGCAGUGGGAUGGGGGAAUCGUUUCAACUCUAUUUAAGAGGGUUAGAAAGGGAGCGCUCGUUGCCAAGAGGAGCACAGGUCUCUCUCUGCUCUCCCUGAGGAGAGCGCUGGCAUGAAGAGGCGCUCUCUAAUGGAAAGAAACAAUCGCUAAUGAGGGAAAUAAAUAACAGGCUCAUAAAAACCCAGCGAGGAGGAGGGGGGGUGGAGGGAGAGCGAGAGGAUGAGGAGAAGAACAAACAGAGUGAAGUUAAAUUUGAAUGAUGGUCAUAGCAACAGUCGUUACACAGGCGCAUACACACACCCAAUGAUGUUUAGCUGUCACUGCUAAUGAGAGAGUGUGUCUGUGAUGUAAGGACAGGAGCUUGCUGAUGGAGAUUCAGACAGACAAUUGAAUAACAUUAUCUUCUCUGUCAUUGUUCAUUGUUUGUUUCUUUUUUCUUCUUCUUUUUUUUCCCCUUCAGCAUAGUGAUUAAUAUGCCGAACAACCAAACCUUUCCAUCUUCAUUUUUUUCCUGCUCCUACACAGAAUAAUAGUAGAAAUUUUCUGUCAUAUGAGAAUAUAAAUACAGAAGAGGCUACAAUUGAUACAAUGGAUGUGAUACAUCAGCACAGGGUGCAUCAGAGUGUAAGAAAAUUAUCUUUAGAUUUCCUUAAUUUUACCUUAUUCAAGUGAGUAAAGUUAAAGAAGCACAAGUUUCUGUUUUCAUCCCUGUUGUGUCCUCGAGGUGAAGAAAAUGUCACUUCUGCAAGUAUGUGAUGGGAAAAGUGACAUCUUACUGGGAAUGAACACUCCUUUCUGUUUAGAAAGUAUUGAAUUUUCUUGAGAGCAUCUUGUUCAUGAAGUUCUCUGUGACUGCUCUUAACACUUUGGUCAUCACAGUUUGGCUAAACUAGAGGAUUCAGUUUCUAUUCUAUCGGUAAAUCCAGUUUUCAUGCCACUAUCAAUCAGUGUCGGUUUCUUUUGCUGACUGUGAAAUUUCAAAGCACACAUUUUGGUCUGCGUUGGUUUGGUUUCUGCCAAAUUCUGAGGCCUGGGAAGAAAAAAAAUUCUUCUCUUCAUACUUCAUGCCACCUCCUUGUGUGUUUCUUUUCUCAAUUCAUCUAUUUUUACCUGUUUUUGCCCCCCUGUGUCUUUUUGCUUUGCAGAUCCACUACCUGGAACUGCAGAGGCGGAGACGGAAACUGGUUGAAACACACUGUGGUUUCAACAUUUCGCAUUCCUCUAGUGUUUUGACAACACAUUUCACAAGAGGGAUCUGAAGUGGUUUUAGAGUUUCUCUCCCUCAGCAUUUGAUAUCAAAGAAUGAUCCCUGCAAUGGCAGAACAUGCAGGACUCCAUGGG